Molecule: ribosomal RNA, 468 nt
Filed under: uncultured bacterium
Lineage: Bacteria
Description: partial 16S ribosomal RNA
Rfam family: Bacterial small subunit ribosomal RNA
Source: RNAcentral
GACGAACGCUGGCGGCGUGCUUAACACAUGCAAGUCGAACGGAAAGGCCCUGCUUUUGUGGGGUGCUCGAGUGGCGAACGGGUGAGUAACACGUGAGUAACCUGCCCUUGACUUUGGGAUAACUUCAGGAAACUGGGGCUAAUACCGGAUAGGAGCUCCUGCUGCAUGGUGGGGGUUGGAAAGUUUCGGCGGUUGGGGAUGGACUCGCGGCUUAUCAGCUUGUUGGUGGGGUAGUGGCUUACCAAGGCUUUAACGGGUAGCCGGCCUGAGAGGGUGACCGGCCACAUUGGGACUGAGAUACGGCCCAGACUCCUACGGGAGGCAGCAGUGGGGAAUAUUGCACAAUGGGCGGAAGCCUGAUGCAGCAAUGCCGCGUGCGGGAUGACGGCCUUCGGGUUGUAAACCGCUUUCGCCUGUGACGAAGCGUGAGUGACGGUAAUGGGUAAAGAAGCACCGGCUAACUACGUG